Molecule: long non-coding RNA, 488 nt
Organism: Arabidopsis thaliana (thale cress)
Lineage: Eukaryota; Viridiplantae; Streptophyta; Magnoliopsida; Brassicales; Brassicaceae
Product: other RNA
Exons: 1
Source: RefSeq
GGGCAUUAUUGGUAGGUCCACUAAACUAUGUUAUUGUUCGUAUGUCAUACAUAUAUAGAUGUUUUUUUAUUGAGUUCGAUUUCUUCUACGAAGUUUACAAAAUUGGUUACCUUCCACAAGUCUUUGCGUAUCAUUUCUUCACAACUUACUCCUUUUGGUCAACAGUACCAACAACUUUAAUUUCAAGCAUCUUCCGCCUCUUCUUCUUCUGCACUGCGUUUACUUUGUGUGACCAAAAAUCCAAACUAAAGAUAUGGAGGUUCCAAUCUGGCAAUGGUGUUUGAUCGUCAUAGUGAUCAUAUUCUUGGCAAUUGCUUCCCAUUUUCUGGGAAGAAUCUUGUGUAGCCCUCGAGAGAGAAUCGCAGAUAGUAAAGCCGAGAAAAAACAUGGACCAGCCGAAGCAGACAAGACUGCGAAAGGUGGCUCCGACCAACUCGUGUGAUGAUCUCAAAGAGCAUGCAUAUAUCGUCAAGUUUGGUUUGUAAUUU